UAGCGUUGUUCGGAUUUACUGGGCGUAAAGCGCACGUAGGCGGCUCGUUAAGUCGGGGGUGAAAUCCUGGAGCUCAACUCCAGAACUGCCUUCGAUACUGGCGAUCUUGAGUCCGGAAGAGGUGAGUGGAACUCCUAGUGUAGAGGUGGAAUUCGUAGAUAUUAGGAAGAACACCAGUGGCGAAGGCGGCUCACUGGUCCGGUACUGACGCUGAGGUGCGAAAGCGUGGGGAGCGAACAGG
RNAcentral lists this ribosomal RNA (241 nucleotides) under uncultured bacterium. Its description in RNAcentral is "partial 16S ribosomal RNA". It matches the Rfam family "Bacterial small subunit ribosomal RNA", at positions 536 to 776 of the family's 1533-position model. The record is from RNAcentral.